UUCCAGACUCCUACGGGAGGCAGCAGUGGGGAAUAUUGGGCAAUGGAGGCAACUCUUACCCAGCAAUGCCGCGUGAAUGAAGAAGGUCUUCGGAUUGUAAAGUUCUUUAAUUGGGGACGAAAAAAAUGACGGUACCCAAGGAAUAAGCCCCGGCUAACUACGUGCCAGCAGCCGCGGUAAUACGUAGGGGGCAAGCGUUAUCCGGAUUUACUGGGUGUAAAGGGGGCGCAGACGGCAAUGCAAGCCAGGAGUGAAAGCCCGGGGCCCAACCCCGGGACUGCUCUUGGAACUGCAUGGCUGGAGUACAGGAGGGGCAGGCGGAAUUCCUAGUGUAGCGGUGAAAUGCGUAGAUAUUAGGAGGAACACCGGUGGCGAAGGCGGCCUGCUGGACUGUGACUGACGUUGAGGCUCGAAAGCGUGGGGAGCAAACAGGAUUAGAUACCCGAGUA
RNAcentral lists this ribosomal RNA (449 nucleotides) under uncultured bacterium. RNAcentral's name for it is "bacterial SSU rRNA". It matches the Rfam family "Bacterial small subunit ribosomal RNA", at positions 329 to 792 of the family's 1533-position model. The record is from RNAcentral.